UACGGGGGGGGCAAGCGUUGUUCGGAAUUACUGGGCGUAAAGGGCUCGUAGGCGGCCAACUAAGUCAGACGUGAAAUCCCCAGGCUUAACCUGGGAACUGCGUCUGAUACUGGAUGGCUUGAAUUCGGGAGAGGGAUGCAGAAUUCCAGGUGUAGCGGUGAAAUGCGUAGAGCUCGGGAAGAACAUCGGUGGCGAAAGCGCUCUGCUGGACUGCAACUGACACUCAGGGACGAAAGCUAGGGGAGCGAAUGGG
RNAcentral lists this ribosomal RNA (253 nucleotides) under uncultured bacterium. RNAcentral describes it as "partial 16S ribosomal RNA". It matches the Rfam family "Bacterial small subunit ribosomal RNA", at positions 524 to 776 of the family's 1533-position model. The record is from RNAcentral.